GCGUCCGUAGCUCAGUUGGUUAGAGCACUACCUUGACAUGGUAGGGGUCGGUGAUUCGAAUUCACUCGGACGCACCA
Molecule: transfer RNA, 77 nt
Filed under: Vibrio sp. qd031
Lineage: Bacteria; Pseudomonadati; Pseudomonadota; Gammaproteobacteria; Vibrionales; Vibrionaceae
Also listed under: 1 other name
Description: tRNA-Val
Rfam family: tRNA
About the family: Transfer RNA (tRNA) molecules are approximately 80 nucleotides in length. Their secondary structure includes four short double-helical elements and three loops (D, anti-codon, and T loops).
Source: RNAcentral